This 353-nucleotide long non-coding RNA is filed under the name Pan troglodytes (chimpanzee). RNAcentral's name for it is "long non-coding RNA NONPTRT002040". Lineage: Eukaryota; Metazoa; Chordata; Mammalia; Primates; Hominidae. The record is from RNAcentral.
UGGAUCUGAUGCAGAUUAAAAUAUCUUGGACCUUGGGCCUGAGCUUGGAAUGGAAGGAGACCUUUGAGGAUCUUAGUGGGGAAUCCCCUUGUCAUAAAACCAAUGCAUAAGAUACAACUGCAUCCAAUGUAUUCCAGAGAAAGAUUCUCUGCAGAUGACUCAAGGAAAGCCACAGGAGCAACAGGGAAACUGAAAGAACAAAUAUCACAGUUGAUUCAGAAGGGCAGCCCCACAUUUUUAAGUGAUACCCAACCAUUGUGAACAAGCUCUGUCAACACCAUCUGCUCCACAAAGGAAAGUUGCUGAUUAUUGCAUCUCUAAGUGGAGUCGGUCCUCUCCCACGAUAGCAGAAG